This 255-nucleotide ribosomal RNA is filed under the name uncultured bacterium. Its description in RNAcentral is "partial 16S ribosomal RNA". It matches the Rfam family "Bacterial small subunit ribosomal RNA", at positions 524 to 778 of the family's 1533-position model. The record is from RNAcentral.
GACAGAGGAGGCAAGCGUUGUCCGGAUUAACUGGGCGUAAAGCGUCCGCAGGUGGCACGGUCAGUGGGGUGUGAAAGCCGGUGGCUUAACCGCCGGAGGCCAUCCCAAACUGCCGCGCUGGAGUCGGGCAGAGGGUGCCGGAAUUGCCGGUGUAGUGGUGAAAUGCGUAGAUAUCGUAAGGAAGACCAGUGGCGAAGGCGGGUCUCUGGACAGUUCCUGACGCUGAGGCACGAAGGCCAGGGGAGCAAACCGGGG